AAAAGCACACACAGACGGAUAGACAGAUAGAUGAAUAGACAUGUGGAUCGAUAGAUGGAUACAUAGGUCAAUAGAUUGAUAGAUGGAUAGUGGGAUAGAUAGAUAUAUAGGUAGGUAGAUAGAUAGAUAGAUAGAUAGAUAGAUAGAUAGAUAGAUAGUAGAUAGAUAGAUAGGUAGGUAGGUAGGUAGGUAGGUAGGUAGGUAGGUAGGUAGGUAGGUAGGUAGGUAGGUAGGUAGGUAGAUAGAUAGAUAGAUAGAUAGAUAGAUAGAUAGAUAGAUAGAUAGAUAGAUAGAUAGAUAGAUAGAUAGAUAGAUAGAUAGAUAGGUAGGUAGGUAUAGAUAGUGGGAUAGGUAGAUAUAUAGGUAGGUAGAAAGAUAGAAAGAUCGAUAGAUGGCUAGUGAGAGAGAUAGAUAUAUAGGUAGAUAGAUCGAUAGGUGGAUAGAUAGUGGGAUAGGUAGAUAUAUAGGCAGGUAGAAAGAUAGAAAGAUCGAUAGAUGGCUAGUGAGAUAGAUAGAUAGAUAUAUAGGUGGAUAGAUGGAUAGGUACAUAGUUAUUCAUUUGCAGCCAAGGUCACACCUGGUAUGUUUCGUGUCUAAUUGUCAUUAGCUGUUUUCUGAAGGCCAGGUCCCCCCUUGUCCCCCCUUGUCCCCCCUGGUUCUCCCCUGGUCCCCCACUGGUCCCCCCAAUGUCCCCCCCAUGGUCCACCCACGUCCGUUAUGUAAUUGCAUAUUUCUAGUGCAGUGAAACAUCCAAAGAGGCCAAAAUGAGAUUUUACUCAGCAGGAUGGAGCCUCCAGUGCAGCGCUGAUGAUGACUGUAUCGGAAGAUUGAUUAGCGCUGCAAGAAGUCUGACGGAUAUUGCCACCAGAGGUGUUUGUGUGUGUGAAAGAAAGACAAGAGGUUGGUGUUAGUGGCAAAUUGCUUCGCGUAUGCAUGUAUGUGGUUUUGACUGGACUGUGUAGAUUGUGAUUCAGGUGAGAAGGGAGACCUCCACACGUGGGCGUUGAAAAACAACACUUGACAAAAGAAAGAAGAUCUUGAUCAGCUCAUGAUUUCAAUAGAUUGAGACAUGCAAACAUUAAAGGACAGUCCUUAAAUCCCAACAAUCUACUUUGGGAGUAAAAACCAACUAUAGUUCCAGUACCAGCAAUAACACCACGACUGUGGUGACUGUGGCUGGGGAGAGCAGGGUCGUCUUUCUCUCAAAGGAUCACGGUUUGAUCCCUGGCUCUACUUGUCCAUGUCCAUGUGUCCUUGGGAAAGACACUUAACUCCAGCAUUGCUCCUGUUGCUGUGACUACGGUGUGAAUGUUAGUUACUGAUGAACAGGAGGCACUGUGUAUGGUUACUCCUGUCAUCAGCGCAUGAAUGAAUUUGAACGGGCGUGAAUGAAGACGUUCAGCUGUCAAAAAUGCUGUGCUAAGUACUUAUUUUUCCGUUUCACAAACACUUUCUUAAAGCCACCUUGUUAUCACCGUCAUCCAAGUGUGUUCCAUGGUCUUUGCAAAAAAUGUAAUCUCCAAAAUCAACUGUGCAAUGUGACCUUCAUGUCAAAUGCAAAUCAAAGUCUCAAGACAUUAAUGAUGUUGGUCUUCUUUAGCAGAUGCAGUAGUAUCAGUCUGAGAAAUGGUAUCUGUAAUACCAGCAGAAGCAUUGAAGGUUACUGUUCUAUGGGUAUUAAUAGCAGAAGUUGCCGAAACACUGCUGUAGAAGUCAUUGCAAUUUGGAUAAUAAUAAUAGAGUAAAAUAUUGAAAUUAACAACUGAAACUACGAGCAAGAAAGCGAAAUGUAAAUUCAACUGCGAUUAAUUCAACCAAAUUCGCCAAUGGCAUAAGCUGCUUACAGCAUAUUGUAAGUGAACAUCUGGUGCAUCGAGGAAGAGCAAAACCAGACAAUUCAUAGACAAGUCAGUUCAGUUUCUGUCAUUUUGGUUGAGAAUGUCCAUUUGUUUAUUCGAUUCGACGAAGGCAGUGCAUAUUGGAUUCAAACCCUCAUUGUUUUAGGAUUUUCCACCGGGUACACCUACUCCUACACUGAUGUUAACGUCUUUAUUUUCUUUAUGUCCAAACGAUAUCCAUAAGUCCUCAGAUUCUAUUUAAGCUAUACCAAGUGCCACCGGUACAAGCCAGAGUUCUAGGCUUCACAUUGGAUCCCUGGACCUCCCUCCAUAAGAGGAAAAAUGUCUGUGCAACCUUUCCUACAGGACGUUGGCCACCACGAAGUGAGCCAAACAUUUUGCACAGACAAUCCCCCCACUCUGGCUUUAAUGGUGGUACACAGAGGCAAUAAUCAUAAAUAGCCAGAGCCGCUCUCUGAAUGGUGACUGAAAUUCGUCUCCUACAGUAACUGCAGCCCCGAUGCUGGGCAAUUUCCCCUCAACAUGCAAAACUGUUGGGACAAAAUGUGGUACUGCCAUUCUCCAUGCAUAUUAAAGACACUUGUCAUCAAGACGUCACCCAGGAGCUAUGAGAACAAGAGGUACAGUUCCUCCGAGACAGACUCACUCACCAUCAAAACCAUGAAAUUAGAGCUGGGAAAAUAUCCUUGUGAUGGGAAAAAUGCUACACUUUAGUGCAUUUUGCAUAAAAGAAAGGAAACGGAUGCAUGUAAAUUGCCCGUGCCACAAAGACAAAUUGGUAAUUCAGGUUUGGAAUGAAAAUGACACUAAAGUGCAAAAAGGAAAUGGUGCAGCGUGAAAGGAAUAAGGGUUGUUAAAAUGUCACAUUUGAGAUUCUGUGCCUUUAGGAAUCGAGAUGUAUUGUUAGAGGAAAUGUGAUAAACACAAGCCAAAUGUACGGAGAGCAAAUAGAAGCCCCAUGUACAGCAUGAUGUCUGAGUCAACACUCCCAGAGACAAACUGAUGAAUGCACAGUUUGUGGUUAUAUAUAGAACCUCCUCACACUUUCCUCUUGGGAACUUAUACAUUUUCUCUAGAAUAAAGAAGUACCCACACAAUGACAUUCAAAGUGUGAUUCUAAAUGAAUUAAACGAAAUGUAUAUUUGUAUAAGUGCUGAUUGAUCAGAGAAACAGAAAACAAUUUCAAAAUGGUCCAAAUACGCAGCUGUAUAUGUCUGUGCAAACAUAUUAAAUAUGUUUUCAUUAUGGACGACAUACCAUAUUCACAGCACACAACCCGUCAUCAUACACCGCUUCAACCCUGAACCCCUGUCACUGAACAAACCAAGAGACCUCGCCGAGUCCUCGUAUUUGUUUGUGGCUUGUAUUUAGAGGGAGGGAGGCAGAGCGCUUUCCCGACAUGGGUGCUGGUGACAUCAGCCACCCCCCCCCUUGGUUUGUCCCUGGGCUCCUCAGGGCCCAAGACCAGUGCCCUCCAGGAUGACAAAUGGCCCUAAUGAAAUAGGACAACUCAGCAUACAUGCAUAAGAGGACGUUAAAUAUUGAUAGUGAAAAUCAACGUAGCGGUGCAUAUUCCUCUCUUUAAUAUUUUAAGUGUCAGACAGGCCUAUUUUCUAUAUAUUGGGAGGGGUAAACUAAUGU
Molecule: long non-coding RNA, 3500 nt
Organism: Gasterosteus aculeatus aculeatus (three-spined stickleback)
Lineage: Eukaryota; Metazoa; Chordata; Actinopteri; Perciformes; Gasterosteidae
Source: Ensembl